This 668-nucleotide long non-coding RNA is filed under the name Brassica napus (rape). RNAcentral describes it as "long non-coding RNA (BNAP_LNC000931)". Lineage: Eukaryota; Viridiplantae; Streptophyta; Magnoliopsida; Brassicales; Brassicaceae. The record is from RNAcentral.
UAAUUUAUUGGUAACAGUCAAAUCCUUAGUUUUCAACCAAAAUGGUAGAUGAAAAUGGCUAAUUAAAAUGUUAAUUAUUUAUAGAACACAUGGAAAGUACACAGGAAAAUGUUUAUAACGGGAAGUCCAUAGUUGUCGAAACAUGUGAGCUACAAAUCUUGUUUUGUCUGAUUGUCACUUAUAAACAAUUUAACAUUAAAUUUUUUUUUUUUUGAACAUUAACAUUUAAAUAUAUGUGGUAACACGAGAAUCAUCAAGUGGUAACAAUCAAACAUGUGGUUCAUCAACAUUUGUGACAGUUAGAAACUAAUUGUCUGAUUAAUAUUUUACUAAUUGCAUCUACAACCCUCUUCACCGUUUAUUUAUAAAAUUUGAGUAAAACCACGCCGGUGAAGAGAAAUAAUAAUCAGAAGCACACUAUUUAUUUGAUUAUUUCAAUUUGUUUCUUUUAAAACUGAUUAUAACAUUCUCAUCAGUUCUCAAACUAGCUUUAAGGGAAGACUUUUAUUACUAAAGAGAGUAAAAGGUGAGCAAAGGCAAGAAAAGGAGAAAGGCAAGAGGAACCUCUACUCAUUUUCUGGUUCAGAAAAAGAAGCUGCUUCAAGUCUACUCCAACCACAAAAAAAAAAGUUGCCAAGUAGUCCAUUGGUGAUGAUAAUUCACAAGAC